This 492-nucleotide ribosomal RNA is filed under the name uncultured bacterium. RNAcentral describes it as "partial 16S ribosomal RNA". It matches the Rfam family "Bacterial small subunit ribosomal RNA", at positions 29 to 507 of the family's 1533-position model. The record is from RNAcentral.
AGUGAACGCUGGCGGUAGGCCUAACACAUACCAGUCGAACGGCAGCACAGUAAGAGCUUGCUCUUACGGGUGGCGAGUGGCGGACGGGUGAGGAAUACAUCGGAAUCUACUUUUUCGUGGGGGAUAACGUAGGGAAACUUACGCUAAUACCGCAUACGACCUACGGGUGAAAGCAGGGGAUCUUCGGACCUUGCGCGAUUGAAUGAGCCGAUGUCGGAUUAGCUAGUUGGCGGGGUAAAGGCCCACCAAGGCGACGAUCCGUAGCUGGUCUGAGAGGAUGAUCAGCCACACUGGAACUGAGACACGGUCCAGACUCCUACGGGAGGCAGCAGUGGGGAAUAUUGGACAAUGGGCGCAAGCCUGAUCCAGCCAUACCGCGUGGGUGAAGAAGGCCUUCGGGUUGUAAAGCCCUUUUGUUGGGAAAGAAAAGCAGCAGGUUAAUACCCCGCUGUUCUGACGGUACCCAAAGAAUAAGCACCGGCUAACUUCGUG